Molecule: non-coding RNA, 171 nt
Filed under: Anaerosalibacter massiliensis
Lineage: Bacteria; Bacillati; Bacillota; Tissierellia; Tissierellales; Sporanaerobacteraceae
Description: 6S / SsrS RNA
Rfam family: 6S / SsrS RNA
About the family: E. coli 6S RNA was the first non coding RNA to be sequenced, but its function was unknown until recently. It consists of 184 nucleotides that fold into an extended hairpin structure with a large single-stranded internal bulge.
Source: RNAcentral
UUUCUACGAUGUUCGCUAUCCUAGAUAAUUCAACCGACAUAGUAUUCAACGGGAGUCUGUUGUUCAAUAGCGUAUGACAUGCCUUUUUAAAAGGAAGUCAAAAGUUAUUGACAGGACACCCACCUUGUAAGAGGCGGGUGUGAAUUAAAUAGGAAGACGGCAUUGUGGGAA